Molecule: ribosomal RNA, 253 nt
Filed under: uncultured bacterium
Lineage: Bacteria
Description: partial 16S ribosomal RNA
Rfam family: Bacterial small subunit ribosomal RNA
Source: RNAcentral
UACGUAGGGUCCGAGCGUUGUCCGGAAUUACUGGGCGUAAAGAGCUCGUAGGUGGUUUGUCGCGUUGUUCGUGAAAACUCACAGCUCAACUGUGGGCGUGCGGGCGAUACGGGCAGACUGGAGUACUGCAGGGGAGACUGGAAUUCCUGGUGUAGCGGUGGAAUGCGCAGAUAUCAGGAGGAACACCGGUGGCGAAGGCGGUUCUCUGGGCCUGUACUGACGCUGAGGAACGAAAGCGUGGGGAGCGAACAGG